RNAcentral lists this ribosomal RNA (490 nucleotides) under uncultured bacterium. Its description in RNAcentral is "partial 16S ribosomal RNA". It matches the Rfam family "Bacterial small subunit ribosomal RNA", at positions 30 to 507 of the family's 1533-position model. The record is from RNAcentral.
AUUGAACGCUGGCGGCAGGCCUAACACAUGCAAGUCGAACGGUAACAGGAAGAAGCUUGCUUCUUUGCUGACGAGUGGCGGACGGGUGAGUAAUGUCUGGGAAACUGCCUGAUGGAGGGGGAUAACUACUGGAAACGGUAGCUAAUACCGCAUAACGUCGCAAGACCAAAGAGGGGGACCUUCGGGCCUCUUGCCAUCGGAUGUGCCCAGAUGGGAUUAGCUAGUAGGUGGGGUAACGGCUCACCUAGGCGACGAUCCCUAGCUGGUCUGAGAGGAUGACCAGCCGCACUGGAACUGAGACACGGUCCAGACUCCUACGGGAGGCAGCAGUGGGGAAUAUUGCACAAUGGGCGCAAGCCUGAUGCAGCCAUGCCGCGUGUAUGAAGAAGGCCUUCGGGUUGUAAAGUACUUUCAGCGGGGAGGAAGGGAGUAAAGUUAAUACCUUUACUCAUUGACGUUACCCGCAGAAGAAGCACCGGCUAACUCCGUG